This 516-nucleotide ribosomal RNA is filed under the name uncultured bacterium. RNAcentral describes it as "bacterial SSU rRNA". It matches the Rfam family "Bacterial small subunit ribosomal RNA", at positions 29 to 518 of the family's 1533-position model. The record is from RNAcentral.
ACGAACGCUGGCGGCGUGCCUAAUACAUGCAAGUCGAACGGUCUUUCUAUGGAAGCUUGCUUCCACUGAGAAGAUAGUGGCGAACGGGUGAGUAACACGUGGGUAACCUGCCCAUAAGAGGGGGAUAACAUCCGGAAACGGGUGCUAAUACCGCAUAGUUUUCUUGAUCGCAUGAUCGGGAAAGGAAAGACGGCCUUUGUGCUGUCGCUUAUGGAUGGACCCGCGGCGUAUUAGUUAGUUGGUGAGGUAAUGGCUCACCAAGACGAUGAUACGUAGCCGACCUGAGAGGGUGAUCGGCCACAUUGGGACUGAGACACGGCCCAAACUCCUACGGGAGGCAGCAGUAGGGAAUCUUCCGCAAUGGACGAAAGUCUGACGGAGCAACGCCGCGUGAGUGAAGAAGGUUUUUCGGAUCGUAAAACUCUGUUGUCAGAGAAGAACAAGCUGGAGAGUAACUGCUCCAGCCUUGACGGUAUCUGACCAGAAAGCCACGGCUAACUACGUGCCAGCCGCCGC